AAACCACCCCCCCCAAAACAUCAGACAUAAAGCCACCCCAACUUCAAACUUUAUAAGUCCUAAACGCAUAUUUAAAAUAAGACUACAACCGAAGUCUCAAAUUUAACCCAAUUAAAACACAAAAAGAGGCCCCGCCUCAAGACCUUAAACCAAACCUAUAACCCGAAACAUCCAAACAGAAGCCCACAACCACAAGACCAUGACUUAAAUACCACAAACUUAGGACUUANGGUACUACUAAAACCAGAGCCUUCCCAGGAACUUAGGUUACUACUAAACCAGCAGCCUUCAAAGCUUCUAAAAAGAGUACAAACCUCUUAGCUCCUG
Molecule: transfer RNA, 327 nt
Filed under: Kinyongia tavetana
Lineage: Eukaryota; Metazoa; Chordata; Lepidosauria; Squamata; Chamaeleonidae
Description: tRNA-Trp
Rfam family: tRNA (bases 257-327)
Source: RNAcentral